CAUCACAAUGAAUAACAUUCUGUAUAUAUAGCCUUAUACUGAUCGUAGCUCAUCUGUGCAUGGGCUUAACGAAUGUCAACAGUAAACGUCAGAUUUGGCGGCACUUCACUUUUUAGGUUAUAAGAGUUUUUGUACGGAUUGUAACUACUGAUAGUAGAUGAUUAAUGAUUUGAUUAAUGUUAUAUUCCUGAUUAUUAUUUGACACUGUAAUAGAAGCAAUCAAUGUAAUAAAGCAAAUGUAGCUGGAAGCAGUGGUUUAAAUGAUAAACCCCCAUACCGGAGCUCGAGGGCCACGGACAUGCCCUCACAUGAAACUGGAAGCAAUAGAUUAAAUGAUGGAACCCUGUGACUGAGCUUUUGAGCCUUGGCUUGGCUCACAUCUCAGAAGUUGGAUAAAGGAUCUAAUGUCCACAAGGUGCGUAAACGUCACUUGGCCUUCUAAAAGUUGGUUUGAUAAUAGAAACUACAGAAAAUAUGUGUAUAAAUGAUACAAGAUUUCAUUAACUUGUUCGAUAAGAGGAGCAAAAGACAGAUCGUUUUGUUUACUUAAAACCAAAAGGUUUUUGUUUGGUGCAUCUAGCAUAACUUUGUUUUCAGUUGAUCAAAUUAUUAACCAUUUCUUUUGUAUUGUUUGUUUUUGGGCUGUGAGAUGAGAAGCUGCCAUACACAAAGGAACAACUCAAGGAAUCAAACAGCUGAUGUAUGAUGAGAGGUAACUUAAGGGUUGAAGCAUUAGCUCUUUGGUGAAACUAACUAUGUCAUCAGCACAAGCCUUGAACAUGUUGAUAAGGAUAUGAAAUGCUAGAUGGUAAGAAUGGCAUUGGACAGAAUACACAGUAUUCUGGUGCAGUGCAGGUACUCAGAGAAAACUGAUUAACACAUAGCCUCGCUGCAAGAGCACACUGAUGUAAAGAAGGUUAAAUCUGAUAGAUGGUGGAGCCACUGCCAGCGGACCGAGUGCCAAGCUGCUGGUGAUCAGGGUCGCAGAGUCGCCGUACUGCAGUGCCGUGUACUUACACGAUAAGGAAGCGAAUCUCUCUAUAUGUGCAUUGAUUGAGAGUGUCGAGAUUCAAUGUUAUAAGAUUAAUAGCUGGCACGACUAUACUAGUCUUUAUAUACAUAUUGUAAAAUCUUAAUUGAGUGCCGAGUUAUGGCAGUGUGUAGUCUAGACCAGGCCAUGAUAGUAGGUAAAACAAACAAAGCUAUGUAUAGAUUGUGACUUAUGUCGAUUCGAAGAUUCUUGUAAUGUAAGCUUGUUGCGUGAAUCAAAUUUUAAACAAAAUAUUGAUAGGUAAAUUUAUGUUGGAAAACUGCUCAGAACAGGCCUUAAAGGCAGACUGUCUGGGGCAGGCCCUGAUUGUUGAUGAUGAUAUUAUUUACCAUAACAAACAUAUAAGAUUGAAAAGGUUAAUACCUUUUGAUUGAUUGAUUAUGAUGAAUGAAGGAGCAGACUGUCUGGAACAGGUCCUGACUGGGUUGGGCCUAACAUUCUAGAGCAGGCCGUGAAGGCAGACUGUCUAGAACAGGCUAUGAUACCAGUUUGGCAUUCUAGAGCAGGCCGUUAUGGCAGACUGUCUAGACCACACCAGUCUAGAGCAGGCCAUACCAAAUUAUAAAAUUAUAUUGAUUGAUUAGGUUGAAUGAAGGAGCAGACUGUCUGGAACAGGUUUGGGUAGUAGCCUGACAUUCUAGAGCAGGCCGUGAAGGCAGACUGUCUAGAACAGGCUAUAAUACCAUCUUGACAUUCUAGAGCAGGCCGAUAUGGCAGACUGUCUAGGCCACACCAGUCUAGAGCAGGCCAUAAUUUAAUUGAUUGAUUGGCAGACCGCCUUGAUUAGUCAAGAACGGGCCAUAACAAAUUAUAUUUUGUUGAUGAAAAGAGCAGGCCUUAAAGGCAGACUGCGGAUGUUUAUGGUAUAAUAUCUCUUAUUAAUAUGUUCAGAACAGGCCUUUAGGUUGACUGUUAAUGAUAUAUACUUUGUUAAUAUAAUUAGAACAGGCUUGUAAGCAGACUGAUUAUUAGUGAUAUAAUAUACUUUAUUAAUAUGAUAAGAGCAGGCCUAGUCUAGUAGGCAGACUGUGAUGUUAAUUAGAAAAUAUACUUUUGCUAAUAUGUUAUACUUUGGAACCGGCCUUGAAGGCAGACUGAGAUAGUUAAUGAUAUAAUAUAAAAACCUCGAUAAUAUGAUUAGAAUUGACUUUGUAAGCUGAAUGUGACUAUUAAUGAUAUAUUAUACUUAGUCAAUACUUAAAUAACAAGCCUAGUAGGCAGAGAUUGAUAAUGAUGUUUUAUAUACUUUGAUAAAA
RNAcentral lists this long non-coding RNA (2307 nucleotides) under Leguminivora glycinivorella. RNAcentral's name for it is "uncharacterized LOC125237088". Lineage: Eukaryota; Metazoa; Arthropoda; Insecta; Lepidoptera; Tortricidae. The record is from RNAcentral.